This is a long non-coding RNA of Labrus mixtus (cuckoo wrasse), 836 nucleotides long. RefSeq lists it as uncharacterized. The record is from RefSeq and is a predicted model, not a curated record. NCBI's taxonomy places the organism in Eukaryota, Metazoa, Chordata, Actinopteri, Labriformes, Labridae. The transcript has 2 exons.
GUGUUUUUAGUUCUGAAGCUUUGGGGUAAGAAACGAUGAAAAUGACGGCCUGCAGCUCCAUCAUCUUCUCCAUUUAUCUGAGCGUCGUACUCCACCUCAGCCAAGGUUAUGAGGUGAUUCAGCCGCAGACUCGGACCGUGAACCCCGACAGAUCGGCCUCCAUCACCUGUGAACACACGGCGAAUGUCAACUCUGUGACAGAUGUUCGACUCAACAGCAUCUCCCCGUGGUAAUGAAUUCCAGAGAGUAGGACCAUAAUGACUAAAAGCACCAUGAGCUGAUCUUGAAUUAAUUUCGGGUACGAUGAGGAGACCUUUAUUUGAAGAUCUGAGGGACUGGUCUGGUGUGUACUCAGUUAGCAUGUCAACUAACUUGGUUUGUGACCAGCCUCAAAUCGUCCCAUGCCCCCCCCCCCCCCCCCGAUCGUUGAAGGGGGCAAAUCAGGCCCUGUGUCUUUUUUUCUGUGUUUCAGAGCAACACAAGCAAUCUCCACGUAUGUGGAAAUGAGGAGAUCCCCUGUGCCAAGAAAUCCAGAGUUUGACUUGUACAGUCGUUCUGCUCUUCACCCCCAUCUCUCUUUUUCUAAGAGCUGAAAACAAAUGUGCUGCUGAAGAUAACCAGCAGAGGGAGACAAAGACCAUCUGCUUCUGAACACCUGCUUUCAUGUUUGCAUGCAAAGUCAUGUUAUCCAUUUUGUAUGAACAGGUACAGAUUAUUUUUAUUCCCAACUUAAAUAGAAGCUAUACCACUGUUAGACUUGAUGAUGUCUUGUACAGUUUGUGUGCAUGUUCCAGCCAGACAGAAAUAAAAACACACCAGUGAUCUUGACUUUUUUA